This 1086-nucleotide ribosomal RNA is filed under the name Chryseobacterium sp. RNAcentral describes it as "bacterial SSU rRNA". It matches the Rfam family "Bacterial small subunit ribosomal RNA", at positions 180 to 1280 of the family's 1533-position model. Lineage: Bacteria; Pseudomonadati; Bacteroidota; Flavobacteriia; Flavobacteriales; Weeksellaceae. The record is from RNAcentral.
AUUAGAUGGCAUCAUUUGAUAUUGAAAACUCCGGUGGAUAGAGAUGGGCACGCGCAAGAUUAGAUAGUUGGUGAGGUAACGGCUCACCAAGUCAGUGAUCUUUAGGGGGCCUAAGAGGGUGAUCCCCCACACUGGUACUGAGACACGGACCAGACUCCUACGGGAGGCAGCAGUGAGGAAUAUUGGACAAUGGGUGAGAGCCUGAUCCAGCCAUCCCGCGUGAAGGACGACGGCCCUAUGGGUUGUAAACUUCUUUUGUAUAGGGAUAAACCUACUCUCGUGAGAGUAGCUGAAGGUACUAUACGAAUAAGCACCGGCUAACUCCGUGCCAGCAGCCGCGGUAAUACGGAGGGUGCAAGCGUUAUCCGGAUUUAUUGGGUUUAAAGGGUCCGUAGGCGGAUCUGUAAGUCAGUGGUGAAAUCUCAUAGCUUAACUAUGAAACUGCCAUUGAUACUGCAGGUCUUGAGUAAAUUUGAAGUGGCUGGAAUAAGUAGUGUAGCGGUGAAAUGCAUAGAUAUUACUUAGAACACCAAUUGCGAAGGCAGGUCACUAAGAUUUAACUGACGCUGAUGGACGAAAGCGUGGGGAGCGAACAGGAUUAGAUACCCUGGUAGUCCACGCCGUAAACGAUGCUAACUCGUUUUUGGGUUUUCGGAUUCAGAGACUAAGCGAAAGUGAUAAGUUAGCCACCUGGGGGAGUACGUUCGCAAGAAUGAAACUCAAAGGAAUUGACGGGGGCCCGCACAAGCGGUGGAUUAUGUUGGUUUAAUUCGAUGAUACGCGAGGAACCUUACCAAGACUUAAAUGGGAAAUGACAGAUUUAGAAAUAGAUCCUUCUUCGGACAUUUUUCAGGUGCUGCAUGGUUGUCGUCAGCUCGUGCCCUGAGGGGUUUAGGUUAAGUCCUGCAACGAGCCCACCCCUGUCACUAGCUGCUAGCAUUAAGUUGAGGACUCUAGUGAAACUGCCUACCCAGUUAAAAAGAAAGGUGGGGAUGACUUCAAUCCUCCCGGCCCUUACGUCUUGGGCCACCACGUAAUCAAUGGCCGGUACGAAGGCACCUACCAGCGAUUGAUGCAAUCCCAAAG